CCUACGGGGGGCAGCAGUGAGGAAUAUUGGUCAAUGGGCGGAAGCCUGAACCAGCCAAGUCGCGUGAGGGAAGAAGGCCCUAUGGAUUGUAAACCUCUUUUGUCGGGGAGCAAAGAGACCACGUGUGGUCAAAAGCGAGAGUACCCGAAGAAAAAGCAUCGGCUAACUCCGUGCCAGCAGCCGCGGUAAUACGGAGGAUGCGAGCGUUAUCCGGAUUUAUUGGGUUUAAAGGGUGCGUAGGCGGGACGGUAAGUCAGCGGUAAAAAUGCGGAGCUCAACUCCGUCGAGCCGUUGAAACUGUCGUU
This 305-nucleotide ribosomal RNA is filed under the name uncultured bacterium. RNAcentral describes it as "bacterial SSU rRNA". It matches the Rfam family "Bacterial small subunit ribosomal RNA", at positions 338 to 640 of the family's 1533-position model. The record is from RNAcentral.